AUUGAACGCUGGCGGCAUGCCUUACACAUGCAAGUCGAACGGCAGCAUAGGAGCUUGCUCCUGAUGGCGAGUGGCGAACGGGUGAGUAAUAUAUCGGAACGUGCCCUAGAGUGGGGGAUAACUAGUCGAAAGACUAGCUAAUACCGCAUACGAUCUCCGGAUGAAAGUGGGGGAUCGCAAGACCUCAUGAUCCUGGAGCGGCCGAUAUCUGAUUAGCUAGUUGGUGGGGUAAAAGCCUACCAAGGCAACGAUCAGUAGCUGGUCUGAGAGGACGACCAGCCACACUGGGACUGAGACACGGCCCAGACUCCUACGGGAGGCAGCAGUGGGGAAUUUUGGACAAUGGGGGCAACCUUGAUCCAGCAACGCCGCGUGAGUGAAGAAGGCCUUCGGGUUGUAAAGCUCUUUCGGCAGGAACGAAACGGUCGUCGCUAACAUCGAUGGCUAAUGACGGUACCUGAAGAAGAAGCACCGGCUAACUACGUGCCAGCCGCCGCAGUAA
This 502-nucleotide ribosomal RNA is filed under the name uncultured bacterium. RNAcentral describes it as "partial 16S ribosomal RNA". It matches the Rfam family "Bacterial small subunit ribosomal RNA", at positions 30 to 523 of the family's 1533-position model. The record is from RNAcentral.